RNAcentral lists this ribosomal RNA (164 nucleotides) under uncultured bacterium. RNAcentral's name for it is "partial 16S ribosomal RNA". It matches the Rfam family "Bacterial small subunit ribosomal RNA", at positions 355 to 511 of the family's 1533-position model. The record is from RNAcentral.
UAGGGAAUCUUCCACAAUGGGCGAAAGCCUGAUGGAGCAACGCCGCGUGUGUGAUGGAGGGUUUCGGCUCGUAAAACACUGUUGUAAGAGAAGAAUGACAUUGAGAGUAACUGUUCAAUGUGUGACGGUAUCUUACCAGAAAGGAACGGCUAAAUACGUGCCAG